UACGUAGGGGGCAAGCGUUGUCCGGAAUUACUGGGUGUAAAGGGCGUGUAGGCGGGACUGCAAGUCAGAUGUGAAAUUCCCAGGCUCAACCUGGGGGCUGCAUCUGAAACUGUGGUUCUUGAGUGCUGGAGAGGAAAGCGGAAUUCCUAGUGUAGCGGUGAAAUGCGUAGAUAUUAGGAGGAACACCAGUGGCGAAGGCGGUUUUCUGGACAGUAACUGACGCUGAGGCGAGAAAGCGUGGGGAGCAAACAGG
Molecule: ribosomal RNA, 253 nt
Filed under: uncultured bacterium
Lineage: Bacteria
Description: partial 16S ribosomal RNA
Rfam family: Bacterial small subunit ribosomal RNA
Source: RNAcentral